Molecule: ribosomal RNA, 321 nt
Filed under: Triticum aestivum (bread wheat)
Lineage: Eukaryota; Viridiplantae; Streptophyta; Magnoliopsida; Poales; Poaceae
Description: partial small subunit ribosomal RNA
Source: RNAcentral
AUGCGACCGCAUGGUGAAAACUUGUAUGAGGUUUACCCAAAUCAAGGGUGGGUUGCCAAAUAUGGUUCUAGGGGCUAUUUUGUCACGGUUGAAGCUAGUGCUGGAGACUACAGAUGUGACUGCUACAAUAUUGAGAGGGACGGCAUGCUUUGCUGCCAUAUCUUGAAAGUUUUCAACCAACUUGGUGUUGAUGAAAUCCCAGCGCAGUAUAUAGUCAAAAGAUGGACACCUUUGGCAAUUCCCAAUGCACCCCUGUUGUCGAAGCGCAACCCGAUGAGAUGCCACCACAGUCAAAGAAGGAACUCAGGCAAGCAAAUUUGA